UCCCUGGGGUUGGAGCUCCCAGGAUCGAUUGAGUCUAGGGAUUUUCGUUCAUGUGCAUGAUUUUGACCGGAUCGUGGGCGACUGCUGGGCCCAUUUGGUCAGAGGCUGGACGGUGUGGGCUGGGGGUAUUGGUGUGGGGAGAGGAAGGGUAAUGUGUGGGGGCUCAGUUGCGAGUGACUAAACUGUUUUCACCGCAUCGGCCCACAUACAUGCCUGACACCCGAGGCUCUCAUUAGUCAUUAGCAGCGCGGUGGUUUUAUAUCGGUCUCACGUGUCUUUGAUCACUAGGUGAAGAGGAGGAAAUUGGGGUGGGGGCGCUGCUUCUGUCUCCUGUGUCGUUUACCACUAGGUGAAAAGAAGAAAAUUGGGGUGGGUGCUGCUGCUUCCGUCUCCUGCGCUGCUUGGUGUGUCUCGACGGUGCUUCGGUGGAGCGGUGGCGUGAGUGCGUUUGUUGGUUGUCGGCAGUCUACGCGUUGUCAGGCUGGCCGGCUGCAGCCUUUCUUCAUUCUGGAGGCUGCUUCUGGUGCAACCUACUCUUUGUCUGCUUUGUUCCUCGCAUGUCUUCCGCUGUUAUCAGAAGCACAACAGGUGAACAAGCGGCAAUAUGCGUCCUCCUCUCUACUCCUCUACAAUUCGUUGCUUCUUCCCCCGAUGAUUUCCUGCUGCACCAAUCUGCUCAUUGAGCUAUUUGCCCUCUUUUUCCUUCUAUAUGGUUUUGGUUAUUUUCUGAUUCCCUAGCUCGGUUAACUGGUAAAUUGUGGAGUGGCGAUCCACAGACAUGAAUUGAGGUGGUUCUUGGUGCAGCAAUUGGGCAACGUUGUAUAUUCUUUCUGAUUUUUAUGGUUUCUGCACUUCGUAUGGCAUGAUGGUCCAUAUAUCUUCUUCCUGGUUCAGUUUUUGAUUUGAUCUGGAAGGAUUUCAUUGGGUUCCUUGAUCCCUUUCUGCAGGUUAUGUGGACUCCAUCCGAAGUGGGAAUUUGAUUGCACUUUCAUUUCUGGCAUAGCUGGGAGGGUGCACCAGGACGCGCUGAGAGGUUGCGCCAGAGGUCAUUAAUCAAGCAAUAAGGAACUUAGGACAUUUCUAACGGAUGCUCCAAAAAUAGUGAAGUAUCCAGUGGAGUAAAAGCUUAGGGCAUGUACAAUGGUUGAUAAGAUGGUCUUAUCUCAAGUCUUGCAUGUAAUUUAGAGAUGACAAAAAAAUUGUUUUACAAAGGGUCACUUCUUAGCCUUAUCUUCAAUAACUAGCUGUUCAUAAAAACAUGGUGAGACAUAUUGUGUUAAGAGAUCACCUCUUAUUCUCUCUUAAAUAAAAGAAGACAAACCUUUUCUUA
This is a long non-coding RNA of Hordeum vulgare subsp. vulgare (domesticated barley), 1330 nucleotides long. RefSeq lists it as uncharacterized. The record is from RefSeq and is a predicted model, not a curated record. The transcript is spliced from 2 exons. Lineage: Eukaryota; Viridiplantae; Streptophyta; Magnoliopsida; Poales; Poaceae.